UUGAGUCUGCGAUUUCCGAAUGGGGAAACCCAACUGCAUAAGCAGUUACUGUUAACUGAAUACAUAGGUUAACAGAGCAAACCGGGGGAACUGAAACAUCUAAGUACCCCGAGGAGAAGAAAUCAACCGAGAUUCCGGUAGUAGCGGCGAGCGAACCUGGAUUAGCCCUUAAGCACUCGGUGAAGUAGGUGAACAAGCUGGAAAGCUUGGCGAUACAGGGUGAUAGCCCCGUAACCGACGCUUCAUCGAGCGUGAAAUCGAGUAGGGCGGGACACGUGAUAUCCUGUCUGAAUAUGGGGGGACCAUCCUCCAAGGCUAAAUACUCCUGACUGACCGAUAGUGAACCAGUACCGUGAGGGAAAGGCGAAAAGAACCCCUGUGAGGGGAGUGAAAUAGAACCUGAAACCGUGUACGUACAAGCAGUAGGAGCACCUUCGUGGUGUGACUGCGUACCUUUUGUAUAAUGGGUCAGCGACUUAUAUUCAGUGGCAAGGUUAACCGUAUAGGGGAGCCGUAGCGAAAGCGAGUCUUAACUGGGCGCUCAGUCUCUGGAUAUAGACCCGAAACCGGGUGAUCUAGCCAUGGGCAGGUUGAAGGUUGAGUAACAUCAACUGGAGGACCGAACCGACUAAUGUUGAAAAAUUAGCGGAUGACUUGUGGCUAGGGGUGAAAGGCCAAUCAAACUCGGAGAUAGCUGGUUCUCCCCGAAAGCUAUUUAGGUAGCGCCUCGGACGAAUACUACUGGGGGUAGAGCACUGUUAAGGCUAGGGGGUCAUCCCGACUUACCAACCCUUUGCAAACUCCGAAUACCAGUAAGUACUAUCCGGGAGACACACGGCGGGUGCUAACGUCCGUCGUGGAGAGGGAAACAACCCAGACCGCCAGCUAAGGUCCCAAAGUAUUGCUAAGUGGGAAACGAUGUGGGAAGGCUCAGACAGCUAGGAUGUUGGCUUAGAAGCAGCCAUCAUUUAAAGAAAGCGUAAUAGCUCACUAGUCGAGUCGGCCUGCGCGGAAGAUGUAACGGGGCUAAGCAAUACACCGAAGCUGCGGCAAUAUCUUUUAGAUAUUGGGUAGGGGAGCGUUCUGUAAGCCGUUGAAGGUGAAUCGUAAGGUUUGCUGGAGGUAUCAGAAGUGCGAAUGCUGACAUGAGUAACGACAAAGGGGGUGAAAAACCUCCUCGCCGGAAGACCAAGGGUUCCUGUCCAACGUUAAUCGGGGCAGGGUGAGUCGACCCCUAAGGUGAGGCCGAAAGGCGUAAUCGAUGGGAAACGGGUUAAUAUUCCCGUACUUCUGACUAUUGCGAUGGGGGGACGGAGAAGGCUAGGUGGGCCAGGCGACGGUUGUCCUGGUUCAAGUGCGUAGGCUUGAGAGUUAGGUAAAUCCGGCUCUCUCUAAGGCUGAGACACGACGUCGAGCUGCUACGGCAGUGAAGUCAUUGAUGCCAUGCUUCCAGGAAAAGCCUCUAAGCUUCAGAUAGUCAGGAAUCGUACCCCAAACCGACACAGGUGGUCGGGUAGAGAAUACCAAGGCGCUUGAGAGAACUCGGGUGAAGGAACUAGGCAAAAUGGUACCGUAACUUCGGGAGAAGGUACGCUCUUGAUGGUGAAGUCCCUCGCGGAUGGAGCUGACGAGAGUCGCAGAUACCAGGUGGCUGCAACUGUUUAUUAAAAACACAGCACUGUGCAAAAUCGCAAGAUGACGUAUACGGUGUGACGCCUGCCCGGUGCCGGAAGGUUAAUUGAUGGGGUUAGCGCAAGCGAAGCUCUUGAUCGAAGCCCCGGUAAACGGCGGCCGUAACUAUAACGGUCCUAAGGUAGCGAAAUUCCUUGUCGGGUAAGUUCCGACCUGCACGAAUGGCGUAAUGAUGGCCACGCUGUCUCCACCCGAGACUCAGUGAAAUUGAAAUCGCUGUGAAGAUGCAGUGUACCCGCGGCUAGACGGAAAGACCCCGUGAACCUUUACUACAGCUUGGCACUGAACAUUGAACCUACAUGUGUAGGAUAGGUGGGAGGCUAUGAAGACGUGACGCCAGUUGCGUUGGAGCCGUCCUUGAAAUACCACCCUUGUAUGU
RNAcentral lists this ribosomal RNA (2071 nucleotides) under Vibrio cholerae. RNAcentral's name for it is "partial 23S ribosomal RNA". It matches the Rfam family "Bacterial large subunit ribosomal RNA", at positions 99 to 2213 of the family's 2925-position model. The record is from RNAcentral. Lineage: Bacteria; Pseudomonadati; Pseudomonadota; Gammaproteobacteria; Vibrionales; Vibrionaceae.